Molecule: ribosomal RNA, 253 nt
Filed under: uncultured bacterium
Lineage: Bacteria
Description: partial 16S ribosomal RNA
Rfam family: Bacterial small subunit ribosomal RNA
Source: RNAcentral
UACGGAGGGUGCAAGCGUUAUCCGGAUUCACUGGGUUUAAAGGGUGCGUAGGAGGGCAGGUAAGUCAGUGGUGAAAUCUCCAAGCUUAACUUGGAAACUGCCGUUGAUACUAUCUGUCUUGAAUAUUGUGGAGGUGAGCGGAAUAUGUCAUGUAGCGGUGAAAUGCUUAGAUAUGACAUAGAACACCAAUUGCGAAGGCAGCUCACUAGUCAAUCAUUGACUCUGAGGCACGAAAGCGUGGGGAUCAAACAGG